GAUCGCUUCCUUCAUCCUACACGUAGAAAAAAAAAGACAACGAUCUGCUAUCCCUAAUCCCUUCACGACUUGACCUAAAAAAACUGCGAUCGUGAUUUCCCUACCUCCCAGCCCUAGGCCGCCGAUGCCCGACGGCGGACGCCGACACGCCAUACUGCAGUCCAGGGGGCCUCAUCGUCACGCUUGGUCAAUUGCUCUCCGACUUUACGCGUUGCCAAUAGCACACGGACUGAUGCUAUGCUAUCAUGGAUUCGACCAUCAGAAUCAGGAUUGUGUGUUAGUAUGCCGCCGAGAAACAAGACGCAUGCAUCGGGAAGCAAUAAAAGGAAAAGGAAGAAGGCCGUUGAUAAAUUUGUUCAAUCAUAGAUUGUUGCACAAAAUUUGCUAAAACACUCUCUCUUGAUGGUUCAUCUGAUCUUGAGGUAUAUGCUCUUAUUUUUGAAUUGAAGAUUAUGAGAUUCACUUUGCCAAAUGGCUUAAUGUUUGCUAUGGAGAUUUUUGUGCAUGUGAGAGAAGUUGAUUAUUAUCCGAAUA
Long non-coding RNA from Triticum aestivum (bread wheat), 534 nucleotides. RefSeq lists it as uncharacterized. The transcript is spliced from 3 exons. The record is from RefSeq and is a predicted model, not a curated record. NCBI's taxonomy places the organism in Eukaryota, Viridiplantae, Streptophyta, Magnoliopsida, Poales, Poaceae.